UACCUCCUCCAUGAAGCUCCCUAUCCCC
RNAcentral lists this non-coding RNA (28 nucleotides) under Rattus norvegicus (Norway rat). The record is from RNAcentral. Lineage: Eukaryota; Metazoa; Chordata; Mammalia; Rodentia; Muridae.